Molecule: ribosomal RNA, 466 nt
Filed under: uncultured bacterium
Lineage: Bacteria
Description: bacterial SSU rRNA
Rfam family: Bacterial small subunit ribosomal RNA
Source: RNAcentral
GAUGAACGCUGGCGGCGUGCUUAACACAUGCAAGUCGAACGAGCGAGAGAGAGCUUGCUUUCUCGAGCGAGUGGCGAACGGGUGAGUAACGCGUGAGGAACCUGCCUCAAAGAGGGGGACAACAGUUGGAAACGACUGCUAAUACCGCAUAAGCCCACGGCUCGGCAUCGAGCAGAGGGAAAAGGAGCAAUCCGCUUUGAGAUGGCCUCGCGUCCGAUUAGCUAGUUGGUGAGGUAAUGGCCCACCAAGGCGACGAUCGGUAGCCGGACUGAGAGGUUGAACGGCCACAUUGGGACUGAGACACGGCCCAGACUCCUACGGGAGGCAGCAGUGGGGGAUAUUGCACAAUGGGGGAAACCCUGAUGCAGCGACGCCGCGUGGAGGAAGAAGGUUUUCGGAUUGUAAACUCCUGUCGUUAGGGACGAUAAUGACGGUACCUAACAAGAAAGCACCGGCUAACUACGUG